UUAAAACUUUUUCCGUAUCGUAUAAAAUAUCUGAUUUCUUUUCAUACUUUCCCAUUCGCGACAUCGAAUCGUGCUGUAGACUUGAGUAAAAGAAUUCAAAGGAAACUAUGCGAAUUGCAAAAUUUACAAAAAGUACUGAUGCAGCAAUAAAACAAUGGGUCCCCCUUUUCUCUACUAUAUCAGUGCCCCAGACAAUAAGAGGAACGGACGUGUCGUCAAAAAAUUUUCGUACGUACUUUGGUGCCUAUUGUAUUCUUUAUGGACAUUAAUAUGUAUAUGCAUAUAUACAACAUCAGGCUCUCAUUCGUACAUACAUUAUGUACAUACCAGAGACUAUAUAUUGUUCAAGAAGCUUUUCGAGUGAGCUUUUUUAAUAAAUGAGAGGAUACACAUUUCUAUUAUGUCUUAGGGGACUGUUACAAAGUUCGACAGGAUAUGCAGAAUCGAACAACCGGCUAUAUUUUCUGUGUCAAAGCACAAUGUAUGACAUAAAGCCGAUACACAGUAAAUGGCAGUCUUGUGAAAAAUAUAUUUCAAGAUAUUGAUAUCGAAGAAUUGAUCACACCCUUGAAUGUAAAGGAUAUUGAUUUUCUUUAUUUGUUUUACAGUGAGAUGACAAUCUGCGUAGGACGGCAGCGAGUGGUAAUACGAGAGACGUCAAAAUUCACUCCCGUCAAUCGAAUAGACGUUUAUCGUUUAUCCCUACGAAGAUACGUGAAUAAGGAUUUACAAAAGAUAUGCCUGUUUUCCUAUAGAGGUUAUGUACAGCUCUUUGUAAAGAUGACAGAAAAAAAAAGAAGAGAAAAGUAAUCAUAGCUGGGGUGACUUUCCUCGUGUGAAAACGGUUAUAAGGUGCUAGUAUUUUCAUACGUCAGGAUAAAACUGUCUUCGUACAGCCAGGUGCAUUUUUUCUUGUGUAAUUUUAUAAAAAUAUUAUCACGCUCAAGAAUUUAUUGCAAAAUUACAUAUAAUUCCCUAUAUUAAUUUUCUAUGCCAAUUCACAUGUCCCGCUCAAGUUUAUUUAGAUUUACGACGUAUCUUUACGAAGUUUAUGACUGUCCAAUGAAAAGUACGUGUAUAUUAGAAUCUGCAUUGACUGUGCUGCGCUCGGUGCAUUCAGCUGUCUACGUCUCGAAGAUAUUCCUAUUGUCAAAAGGGUAGACUACUGAAUUCAAAUCUGGCACUGUGUCAAUGACCAUUUAUAUACGUCUAGGAAUAAUUGUCUGAAUCGAAAGGAUACUUAUUGUGUAUUUUUGAAAAUGUUCAAUUUAUAACGUGAGCCAAUCGAUUUUUACAAUUAAUUUAUCCAACUCGGACAAUGCAUUAUCUUCCUAUUUAAAAUUCAUUAGUCGUCCACUAAGGAACGUCGAAUCUUGAAUUUACCCGAUAACAACCUGUGGAAUGUGGUCCUAGGUUCUCAGAGAGGGAUUCCAACUUUUUCAGUAAAAAAUAAUAAUUCCAAAAAACAUUCAGAAGCGAUAUUGGAAAAUUGUUUUUUAUUGCCAACAAAUUUUUGUUCAAAACUCUAUUUCUUCGUUUCGAUAUUAAAACCAAAGAAUUAUAUGAAUUAUACGUUACACGGGUGUUUUAUGAAGAUACGAGAUUUUCAUAAUUAAUAAAGAAAGUACUCGAUAGCAGAGAAUGUGAUAAAUCAAGUUUUCCAGUAUCAAAACACCAA
Long non-coding RNA from Cephus cinctus (wheat stem sawfly), 1678 nucleotides. RefSeq lists it as uncharacterized. Lineage: Eukaryota; Metazoa; Arthropoda; Insecta; Hymenoptera; Cephidae. The record is from RefSeq and is a predicted model, not a curated record. The transcript has 3 exons.